This 5280-nucleotide unclassified non-coding RNA is filed under the name Leishmania donovani. RNAcentral's name for it is "gene:LdHU3.05.0730(CDS-product:hypothetical_prote in_conserved)". Lineage: Eukaryota; Euglenozoa; Kinetoplastea; Trypanosomatida; Trypanosomatidae. The record is from RNAcentral.
CCAGCAGGCAGCAAGGGGCCAGUCUCUCUCUCUCUUAAUCUCUAUCUCACGUACGCACAGGCACAGACACGCACACGUCUAGCCGUCAAAUACCUCGCGGCAGCAUCUGCUGCGUACUCUCGACGCCUCCCUCUGUCUUUCGCCCCGCCGCCACUUCCGCACAGCCGCCCCACCGUUAGAACGUAUCCGCGACGGACGCGGAAGCGACGACGCAGUGGAGAAAGUACGCCGUCGCUGCCGCUGUGCACGAGAAGCUGGGGAAGAGCUGCGCACGGUCGGUGUGCGUGCAGGCAUUUCCUUGGGCAUCCGGCUCAUCCUUCUCCACUGACACCGCGGCCGCCGCCACGACCAUCACCAUCAUCAUCAUCGCUGCUCUCCCUCCGUUAGCACUGACCUCUGCGUGUGCGUGUGCGUGUGAAGCUUGAAGAGCCGAUGGGGCAUAAGUAUAGCACCAGCGCACACCCGUCCGCGGGCGUCGGCGACGCUGCCGUGGCAGCAGCAGCGGGCAUGCUGCCAGCACCAUGCCCACCGCCAGCGCUGAAUAGGCCGCUGAUGGAGCCGCGAUGGAGGGGUGGCCGUCUCUCCACGGAGCAGGUGGCGGACCUGCGCACUGAACUAGGGCGUCUGGUCGCGGCGCUCGCGGUCGCGUUUCAGGCAGGCAGAGCAGAAGAGGAAGGACAGCAUACGCAGGACGUUGCCGCUGACGCGCAUGACGCGAAAGGCAGUGCGCACACCUCGAGUAGCGCACCGCUCAGCGACCCGCUGGCGGAAGAGGCGGCCGCGCUGCUUCUGAAGCCGUUCGAAGAGAUGCACCUCUCUGGCUACCGGCUUGGCGAUGCCGCGCUCACGUCCCCGAGCAUGCCCGACCUGCCGUCCUUUCUCUCUGUUGUGUCUCGGCACACGCGGCUCCGCGUGCUCGAUUUGAGCUUCAACAAUCUGACACCGCAGGUGCUGGCGCCCCUCCUCCAAGCCAUUCGUGGUCUGCCGUUGCUGGCGGUGCUGAAGCUCAGCGGCAACAUGCUCGGAUCGGCGCGCAGUGACGACUACAACGGCAGCCGCAGCGAGAAAUGGGACUUGUCCACCGUGAGUGUCGAUGAAGAGCUCGGAGAUGCCGCGACGGCGGCUGCACGGCUUGGCCGUUAUCUCGCCACAAACCCGGCGCUGCUGGAGUUGGCACUGUUUCACUGCGAUCUGAACGAUCACGACGUGCGCGAGCUGCUCUCCGGCCUUGUUCACCCCCGCAACACCACCCUGCACACAUUGCAGCUCUCCUGGAACCCGGCGUGCACCUCGCGCAGUGCGGAGAUGGCCCUGCAGCUGGUCACGGACCUCGGAAACACCACCCUGUGCGAGCUGGAGCUAGAGGGCGAGGCGCCGGCGACACAGGUGCGUCUUGAGUACGCGUGCACCCCCGACGGUGUCUUCCGCUCCGGACACACCCUCAUCCCGGAGAGCGCGGCGGCAGGGGCAGCGACCGGCGACGGCAACGACGAUAACAGCGGCAAUGCGGGCACGGUGAUCACAAGUGCGGCAGCUGCCGACGUGGUGAGCCUUGAGCAGCUUCGGCAGCAGCAGCAGCAACUCGCCGAGAUCCAGAAGCACCUCACACCUGCCCAGGGGGCCCGCUACGUGAACCGCUGCCGCUACCUCGCCGAGGACUUGGACGGGUCACGUGUGUUGGCACCGUUGGUGAUGCGAGAGCUGAAGGCGGUGCUGUCCAUCCGGCUGCCUCCGAGGCCGCGCGUCGACGAACGCCACGGCGCGAGCGAGUUGAACGUAGCCGCCUUCGCAGAACGGGAGACGGCUUCUGCCUCUGCUGCUGGCGCGGGAGCACACAGCCAAGACGGCAGCGGAGAGCUCUUCACGUCCGCUGCGGCGGUGGACUGCGGCGGCAGCGACCCUCACAGUGGCCGUGCCGUGCCGUCUCCGGCGGCCGCUGCCAACUCGUCCGCCGGCCUCCAGCGGCGGUCCUUCGAGGGUGUUUCUGCAAUGACUGACGGCCAUGUGGCAAGUGUUGCGCCACCCCCGCAGGCAACGGAUGCGCCGCGCCCGCGCACGUCUCCCCCGAUGCACCUGCGCCGUCGGUGGCCCACCCCCGCGGUGAGCACGGGCAGCGUAGCCAGUCCCGCGUCGGGGCGACACGCGGCGCAGCAGCAGCAGCACCCUCGCACACCGCAAGAGCUGCGUGAUGCUCGCUUCGAAACACCACAGCGCCUCGCCGCUGUGAUGGCCGACGCCGAGGCAUUUCGCCGUCGCCUGCAACCUGUGCAGCUUGACACUCACGCGCCGCCGUGCGCCGAGGUCAGUCGAUACCGCAGCGGCGCGCACAGCGCAUCGGUGACGAAAACGAGAUCCCUGUGGUACGCCGACGACGGCUUUGUGUUGCGCCCGAAUGGGUUGUCGAAGGUGCUCGUUGCACCGGUGCUCCCUGGUGGCGCGACGGCCUUCGCAAACGUGGCACUGGAGGACGUGGAAGACCGCCCCCUGCAGCCCUGUUGGUGCACACCGCGCCAGACGUCUCCGAUGACUGGCAUCUACGCUGGCAUACUGCACUACCACUGCGUGCACGAGGCAACGGCACAGCAACAGAAGCGACAGUACGGCACCUCCUCGUCGCCACCGCCAUCGACGGCUGCGACAGCGGUGAAGCCGGCGGACCCCAGCGCGUCCAAGAGCCGGCUGCCGCUGCUGCUUCCCCAGCCCUCGCAGCAGCCGCAGCCGCAGCUGCAGCCGCAACAGCUGCCCAGCACGGCUGAGAUGUACUGCGGAUGCCAGGGCACCGGUCAUCUCUGCCUCUCCGCGUGUGUGGCCUCAGAGGGGGCGGGGGCUGGUCGACGCCGCCAUCGCAUGCGGUCGACGUUGCACGUAAAGGCUGCAAAGGCAGUGGGCAAGUCUGCAGGGAGCGGUUAUGGUGCGUCAGCGUCCCGCAAAUCCGACCGCACGCGCGAGCGCUUCCUCGACUGGACGGCCACCAAUAGUGACGCUGUCAACACCCUCUUGAGCACCGUUGCAGCAGCGGCACCACCGGCGCUGCGUCUGAGCACCGUGCGCACGGCAUGCGGUGGUCUCUCGAUCGCGCUCAACUACAGCCCAGUGACCCAUUUCUCCGCGCCACACGUGAGCUGCGCAUCAGGCAUGACGCUAGCGGAGUUCUAAUUGGGCGAGAGGGAGACAUAAUGCGUAUGUCCGAGCCUGUGUAUGUGUGUGUGGUGGGGGGAGGUGUGGGGUGGGGAGCGUCACGGAAGUCGACAUCCGUGCGCGUGCGAGUGUGCACACUGCGCGCAUGCUCUGCUCUGCUCUGCUCUACUCUACUCUACUCUGCUGAUGUGUAUUAGCCCUUCUUCGAUGUUCCAUACGCGUAUGUGUGUGUAGGUGUGCGUUGCUUUUUGUUUUUUCACUUGGUUUUACUUUUCGGCAGCGCUCGAGACUCUCGCGCGUACCGCGUCGCCGUCCGCCCCACCGACCUCACGACUUGUGCCUUGAUUAAUGUCGUGCACGCGACAACGUCGCCAAGGGUGCGAGUGCGCGCGGUGUUCGGUUGCACGGGUGUGUUGCCAUGUCAUGGGAUGUGGUGGUGGUACGUGUGCGCAUGUGAGGAGAGAGAGAGGGCGGCCGAGGAGAUGGAGGAGGAGGGGGAGAAUCGACGCUGGUGGGGGGGGAAGGGGUGCACGCCGCUCACGUGAUCGCGCAUCGUGCACGCACGCACAAACAACACCUUGCUUUUGGUUCUGUCUUCGCCGCUGCUUUGCUCGACCUCCCGCCCGCUCGCUCUCCCCCGCCGAUCUCCUGCAGGCGCAAGGGACAUGCCCCGCGCCCUGUUGUGUGUGCAUGCGUGCGCGAUGCUUCGCCUCGGCGGCAUGCGUGUCCCCGGCGCGCCCGAGGAUGUGUCCAUCAGUACAUCACCCUCGUCGAAAGGCGCGCUAGCAGACGGAUUGGUACACCUGCUGCACGGUUUGGAAGGACGCGGCCGCCUUGUAGCUCUCAGGCCUCCGUGCGUCUCGGUGUACGCGCUCGGUGGGAGAAGGGGGAGAGAGGCGGCCAACACAGCCACCGCCAUCAUCAUCGUCUCGCGCCUCCCAGCCCCGCCCGCUUCGUCUUCCCGUGGGUAGAACAGGCCGCUCCUUUCUGUUCUCGUUGUUCCUUCUCCCCUGAUGACGAGAGGGAGGAGCUGGCGCGAGGGCCACACGCACGGCGCCCCUCAGUGCGCGGGAUCACAAGGCUCAAGCACUCCUCCACCCCCUCUAUCUCAUGCCAAAUCCCGAGCCGCUUCUGGUAGUGGCAUGGCCAAACACCUGCGACGUAGGGGGAGGUCAGUGUGAUGUACCGCUACGGCUGUCGGCAGUGUGUCAGGUCCUGGACGGCGUUGUGUUGGGGCGACCUGUCAGGGCGAGCACGUGUCUGUGCCGUCCACGUGAUGGGCAGAGUGUCAGCGUGGCUCGAGCGUGUCCCACCCCCGGCCCUCACACUGUGCCCUACUUGGUGGUGAGAAUCCUGCGCCGCCCCGAGGGGGUGGAUGCACCUGGGAUGGCGGCCUGCAUAAUGGGAUGAAGGAGGGGAGGGGAAGUGAGGUGAGGUGGGGCGAAGUUCGAGGGCAACGCCCGCGCGCUCAGAUGGCUGCGCCAGCGCACUGCUUUAGCGCGUGUGCCUACGGCUGCUUCGCACCACGCGGAUGGGGGGAAGGGGAGGGGGGCCUGGUGACCGGACCGAGUGGUGGGGUUUGAGCUGAACUCGUACGGUGUGGCAAAGAAACGGACGCGCUGGGAGGCGGAAAAGCGUGCCGCUCCCUCUCUCUGCCUCUCUUCCCAUGGCGGUUCCGUUGCGCCAUGCUGUUGGAAGUUGGUCAUGCCCUCUCACCCACGCGCGCGCACACCCACGUCUGCGUCUGAUGGGUCUGUGCGAGUGAGCGCCUGUGUGGAUGGUGCGCUCAUGUGAAUGUGUACGUCUGUGUCUGUUCCUGGCAGCAGCGUGUAGGAGCAUUCUCAGCCAUGUAGGUGGGUUGUAUUGUGACGUAGCUGAGUCGUUGCGCGUGCGUCUCCGUCAGCAGACAGUUUCGUUUCCAGGGCUCCCGUCUCUGCCCUCCUUCCCUUCCCUUCUCUCUCGGGCACACGCAUGCAUGCAGGCAUGUAGACAUCCCUAUCCCGUGUUCCUCGCACGCAUCCGAAUUUUGUAUCUCUAUGUGUGUGUAUACUAGGGUGCCUCUGCGCCAGCCUCACCGCUGUCGCUCUCAUCAUCAUCAGCCCCACCCCCUACCAUCCCUGUCUGGAUGUCUUUACCCUCACC